AAAGGUAGCAUAAUCAGUUGACUUAUAAUUGAAGUCUGGUAUGAACGAAUUUACGGGUAACGACUGUCUUGGGAAGAAAUUAGAGAAUUUAAUUAUCAAGUGCAAAUGCUUGGUGAUUUAAAAUAGACGAGAAGACCCUAGAAACUUUAAAAUUUUGUUGGGGCGGCAGAAUUACACGGAACUUAUUUUAAUAUUACGUGAAGCGAAGAAGAAAGAUUAAGUUACUCUAGGGAUAACAGCAUAAUUUAUAAUAGUUUGUGACCUCGAUGUUGGACUAGGUAAUAUAGUUUUUAGAAGAAACUAUUGGUUGCUCUGUUCGAGCAGUUUUACCUACAU
This 336-nucleotide ribosomal RNA is filed under the name Chilostoma cingulatum baldense. RNAcentral's name for it is "partial 16S large subunit ribosomal RNA". It matches the Rfam family "Bacterial large subunit ribosomal RNA", at positions 1952 to 2601 of the family's 2925-position model. The record is from RNAcentral. Lineage: Eukaryota; Metazoa; Mollusca; Gastropoda; Stylommatophora; Helicidae.